AGAGUUUGAUCCUGGCUCAGAACGAACGCUGGCGGCAUGCCUCAUACAUGCAAGUCGAACGAAGGCUUCGGCCUUAGUGGCGCACGGGUGAGUAGCGCGUGGGAACCUACCCUUUUGUGGGGGAUAACCGAGGGAAACUUCGGCUAAUACCGCAUACGCCGGGUAACCGGGAAAGAUUUAUCGCAGAAGGAUGGGCCCGCGUCGGAUUAGCUAGUUGGUGGGGUAAUGGCCUACCAAGGCAAUGAUCCGUAGCUGGUCUGAGAGGAUGAUCAGCCACACUGGGACUGAGACACGGCCCAGACUCCUACGGGAGGCAGCAGUAGGGAAUAUUGGACAAUGGGCGAAAGCCUGAUCCAGCAAUGCCGCGUGAGUGAGGAAGGCCUUAGGGUUGUAAAGCUCUUUCGGCGGGGACGAUGAUGACGGUACCCGCAGAAGAAGCCCCGGCUAACUUCGUGCCAGCAGCCGCGGUAAUACGAAGGGGGCGAGCGUUGUUCGGAAUUACUGGGCGUAAAGGGCGCGUAGGCGGCCAUCUUUGUCAGGCGUGAAAGCCCUGGGCUCAACCCAGGAAUUGCGCUUGGGACGGGUUGGCUUGAGUUCGGGAGAGGAGAGUGGAAUUCCCAGUGUAGAGGUGAAAUUCGUAGAUAUUGGGAAGAACACCGGUGGCGAAGGCGGCUCUCUGGACCGAUACUGACGCUGAGGCGCGAAAGCGUGGGGAGCAAACAGGAUUAGAUACCCCUGUAGUCC
RNAcentral lists this ribosomal RNA (744 nucleotides) under uncultured bacterium. RNAcentral describes it as "bacterial SSU rRNA". It matches the Rfam family "Bacterial small subunit ribosomal RNA", at positions 8 to 796 of the family's 1533-position model. The record is from RNAcentral.